UCUGCUUCUCAGCCUUUUGGCUAAGAUCAAGUGUGUAUCUGAAGAACAAUAUCUGGGGAUUACGGACUAUAUAGUCCCAUUUUGCUUGUGGGCAUCCCAAAUGCAUCUGGUUGUCCACUGUGGGAAAAGGAUGUUGGACUAUGUUUAGUCUUAUCCUGCAGGCCUGC
Podarcis lilfordi (Lilford's wall lizard) is the source of this 167-nucleotide non-coding RNA. Lineage: Eukaryota; Metazoa; Chordata; Lepidosauria; Squamata; Lacertidae. The record is from the annotation of a GenBank genome assembly.